UUUUUUGUUAUGUUUUGUUUACAUUCUUUGACUAGUGUUAUAAGUUAAAUGCGAGCCUGCCUUGGGACUAGCCCUCGAACAGAUUCACAUAUUAAAGUGCACAGUGUUGGAUAGUGGGGGUCAGGCCUCUCAGUAAAGAGAGCACCCUAUUAUUCACUAAUGAUCCUUCCGCAGGUUCACCUACGGAAA
This 189-nucleotide unclassified non-coding RNA is filed under the name uncultured fungus. RNAcentral describes it as "sequence contains ITS1". Lineage: Eukaryota; Fungi. The record is from RNAcentral.